UAGGGAAUCUUCGGCAAUGGGGGGAACCCUGACCGAGCAACGCCGCGUGAGUGAAGAAGGUUUUCGGAUCGUAAAGCUCUGUUGUUAAGGAAGAACGAGUGUGAGAAUGGAAAGUUCAUGCUGUGACGGUACUUAACCAGAAAGGAACGGCUAACUACGUGCCAGCAGCCGCGGUAAUACGUAGGUCCCGAGCGUUGUCCGGAUUUAUUGGGCGUAAAGCGAGCGCAGGCGGUUAGAAAAGUCUGAAGUGAAAGGCAGUGGCUCAACCGGGGAGGGUCAUUGGAAACUGGUUGACUUGAGUGCAGAAGAGGAGAGUGGAAUUCCAUGUGUAGCGGUGAAAUGCGUAGAUAUAUGGAGGAACACCAGUGGCGAAGGCGACUCUCUGGUCUGUAACUGACGCUGAGGCUCGAAAGCGUGGGGAGCGAACAGG
RNAcentral lists this ribosomal RNA (430 nucleotides) under Bacteroidota bacterium. Its description in RNAcentral is "Bacteroidetes bacterium partial 16S ribosomal RNA". It matches the Rfam family "Bacterial small subunit ribosomal RNA", at positions 355 to 776 of the family's 1533-position model. The record is from RNAcentral. Lineage: Bacteria; Pseudomonadati; Bacteroidota.